RNAcentral lists this small RNA (123 nucleotides) under unclassified sequences. RNAcentral's name for it is "LOOT RNA". It matches the Rfam family "LOOT RNA". From Rfam's summary of the family: Latescibacteria, OD1/Parcubacteria, OP11, TM7. Lineage (Microgenomates, aka OP11) The record is from Rfam by way of RNAcentral.
AGCCUAAGUCCCCUAAAAAGGAUAUGGCACAGAAUCCUAAGUAACAAACAUGGUCUUCUGACCUGCGCUUGUUACUUAGGUCUAUACUCGAAAGGGUGUAGGGCGGUUCCGAAAGGAGCUGUC